This 258-nucleotide ribosomal RNA is filed under the name Kribbella sp. ISO592_OTU204. Its description in RNAcentral is "partial 16S ribosomal RNA". It matches the Rfam family "Bacterial small subunit ribosomal RNA", at positions 29 to 289 of the family's 1533-position model. Lineage: Bacteria; Bacillati; Actinomycetota; Actinomycetes; Propionibacteriales; Kribbellaceae. The record is from RNAcentral.
ACGAACGCUGGCGGCGUGCUUAACACAUGCAAGUCGAGCGGUAAGGCCCCUUCGGGGGUACACGAGCGGCGAACGGGUGAGUAACACGUGAGCAACCUACCCUUCACUUCGGGAUAAGCCUCGGAAACGGGGUCUAAUACCGGAUAUCACUAUCUGCUUCAUGGCGGGUGGUUGAAAGUUCUGGCGGUGGGGGAUGGGCUCGCGGCCUAUCAGCUUGUUGGUGGGGUAAUGGCCUACCAAGGCGUCGACGGGUAGCCG